AGAGUAAACACGGCGGCGGCGGCGCCCGGAGCCCAGCCGCGUCCCCGGGCUCUGCCUCGGAGGGAGGCAAAGCUUCCUGUUUCAACUGUACAAGAAAGGAAGAAGUAAGAAGGGAAAUGGCUUGUAGAAGAAUCUGCUUUUAGAGGAAAUGUUAACUCUCUUGCACGGACAUGUGAUGAAAUUUUACAUACUAAAGACUUCCACUCCCUCCAAUAUAAAUCUUGUGAACCUUGCAAGGGGAGUUGGUGACAACAUCUUCCAAUGGGGGAGAGGUUAUAUAAUGGUGUUGCCAGGUUAUUUGAGUGGCAGCAAUAAACCAGAAAGAUCUUGACCUCUCUGUUUCCAGCCUUGUGAAAUGGACUCACACACAAGCAUUCUCAAGCUCAAUGACUCCUUAAGCUCUGGAUCUACUUGUAGGCACUACACCACUCAGUCAUGUCUCUCUGCUUGCUUGACUGGACCUGAAACUCUCAAAUGACUUGUCGAUUUUGGAUGGCCAAUCUCCUAGGUAAAGACAAGAUAAUUCAGAAGAAACCAAGUUCCUCUUUUAAAAUUUGGGUUUCCUGUCGGAUUUGUAUGUCCACUAAUGAUCUCAAAAAUAAAAUUUCAGGCCACAUUCAAACUUGAAAUUCAAUAAAGUCAGUUAAGCCCAAAUGAAACUUUACAAUGGAAAGUGUACUGAAGUGAACAGGAAAAAUUGAUGGCAUAAUCCAUUUCAAGCUUCUAACUCCUGGGACUAGGGAUAUUUAACAUCUGCUACCCACAAAGGCUACAAUAAAUUUUUAGAAAAUGAAUGUAAAGAUAUUAAUGAACAAUCUGCCAUCAUGCCAAAAGAAAAGGAAUUUGGUCUUACUAAAACAGAACAAGAAUACUUGAUU
Non-coding RNA from Phascolarctos cinereus (koala), 878 nucleotides. The record is from RefSeq and is a predicted model, not a curated record. NCBI's taxonomy places the organism in Eukaryota, Metazoa, Chordata, Mammalia, Diprotodontia, Phascolarctidae.